This 460-nucleotide ribosomal RNA is filed under the name uncultured bacterium. RNAcentral describes it as "partial 16S ribosomal RNA". It matches the Rfam family "Bacterial small subunit ribosomal RNA", at positions 338 to 795 of the family's 1533-position model. The record is from RNAcentral.
CCUACGGGGGGCAGCAGUGAGGAAUAUUGGUCAAUGGGCGCGAGCCUGAACCAGCCAAGUAGCGUGAAGGAUGACUGCUCUACGGGUUGUAAACUUCUUUUAUAAAGGAAUAAAGUGAGGUACGUGUGCCUGUUUGUAUGUACUGUAUGAAUAAGGAUCGGCUAACUCCGUGCCAGUAGCCGCGGUAAUACGGAGGAUCCGAGCGUUAUCCGGAUUUAUUGGGUUUAAAGGGAGCGUAGGCGGAUUGUUAAGUCAGUUGUGAAAGGUGGGGGCUCAACCGUAGAAUUGCAGUUGAAACUGGCAGUCUGGAGUGCAGUAGAGGUAGGCGGAAUGCGUGGUGUAGCGGUGAAAUGCUUAGAGAUCACGAAGAACACCGAUUGCGAAGGCAGUUCACUGGACUGCAACUGACGCUGAGGCUCGAAAGUGUGGGUAUCAAACAGGAUUAGAUACCCCAGUAGUC